RNAcentral lists this unclassified non-coding RNA (978 nucleotides) under Hevea brasiliensis (rubber tree). The record is from RNAcentral. Lineage: Eukaryota; Viridiplantae; Streptophyta; Magnoliopsida; Malpighiales; Euphorbiaceae.
CUCUCUCUCUCUCUCUCUCAUGCAUGUAAAUCCACAGUAAAGACAUUUUUUUUUUUCCCUUUCUGGGAGAAGGGGUGGGUGGGUUAAGCUCUCUGUAAUCUCUACUCUUUUCAACUUUCUCUGCAUACGCCAUUUUCUAAUGCUGAGUACUCAGGCAUUGGAGGACCUCGCCACCACCGGGAGCAGUUCUGGUCCCCCAACACCACCCCCACCCCCACUCUCUUCUCUGAUGCAUGUAAAGCCACAGUACAGACAAAAUGGCAGUGUUUUUCUUUUUGGGGGAAGGGUUGGGUAGGUGGGUUAAGCUCUGUGUUAUAUCAAAUCUUCCUAACGCUGAGUACUCGGGCAUUGGAGGACCUCACCACCACCGGGAGCAGUCCAAACAAACAACCACCAGCACCAAAGGGAGGCCAAUCUUUGACAUCAUCAGUAACGAAAACACAACAACGAAAAAGAAUAAUAUUAAAGAAGCGUCAUGGACUGGGAUUUAGAGUUACCCUGUACAUAACCUCGAUUCCAUAAUCUGGACGUGGUUGAUCGUUGUACUUCAAUGCAUCAAGCUGGUGCUGUACAGCUUCUUCUGCACUAAAAUUUAGCCUUGGGCCAAAAGGUCUCUUCCGACGAGAUUCAAGCCAAUCAGCAGAGAGAUAAUCAGGUACAUCGGCGGAAGCUCUCAAUCGAGAGCUGACUGAGACGGACGCCGGCUUGCUAUCACCGUUGAAGGGCUUGGAUUUGGAUAACAGAGGGAGAAACUGCGGGGUUGAGAGACAGCAAGUGAACGACAUCGUUUCCAACCUCAAGCAAUCUCCACUCACUGUGUGGAAGUUUCUCGUCUAUGGAACGCGGAAGUCCCAGGAUGGGGUUUGCUUGGAGUCUCUUAUUUGUUUUGAACCGUCCGAUGAUGUUUUCUUGAUAUCGUGCGGUAAGAAAAUGGAAGAAAAGCUACGCUUUAGAUACAUCAUUUCUUAAAACGACUUG